CUGUAACAAGAGUGCACACGCUGAAAUGUCUCGCCUUCUAUACUAAUCAUUGAUAUUAUGUUGAUAGUCCUAAGUAUAAAGCUAAGCUUUAUUACAACUGUCACAUAAACUUAACAUUAACCAAGAUAACUAAACAAAGACCAAUGAACCUUGAAAAUGAGGUCAAGGUCAGAUGAACCAUGCCAGGCAGACAUGUACAGCUAACAAUGCUUCUAUACAACAUAUAUAGUUGACACAUUACUUAUAGUUUAAGAAAAAUAGACCAAAACACAAAAACUUAACACUGUGCAAUGAACCGUGAAAAUGAGGUCACGGUUAAAUAAAACCUGUUCGACUGACAUAAAGAUCAUAAAAUAUUUCCAUACACCAAAUAUAGUUGACCUAUGGCAUAUAGAAUUAGAUAAAAAGACCAAAACUCAAAAACUUAACUUUGACCACUGAACCAUGAAAAUGAGGUCAAGGUCACAUGACAUCUGCCCGCUAGACAUGUACACUUACAAUCAUUCCAUACAACAAAUAUAGUAGACCUAUUGCAUAUGGUAUGAGAAAAACAGACCAAAACACAAAAAUUUAACUAUAACCACUGAACCAUGAAAAUGAGGUCAAGGUCAGAUGACACCUGUCAGUUGGACAUGUACACCUUACAGUCCUUCCAUACACCGAAUAUACUAGCCCUAUUGCUUAUAGUAUCUGAGAUAUGGACUUGACCACCAAAACUUAACCUUGUUCACUGAUCCAUGAAAUGAGGUCGAGGUCAAGUGAAAACUGUCUGACAGACAUGAGGACCUUGCAAGGUAUGCACAUAUCAAAUAUAGUUAUCCUAUUACUUAUAAUAAGAGAGAAUUCAACAUUACAAAAAAAUCUGAACUUUUUUUUCAAGUGGUCACUGAACCAUGAAAAUGAGGUCAAGGACAUUGGACAUGUGACUGACGGAAACUUCGUAACAUGAAGCAUCUAUAUACAAAGUAUG
RNAcentral lists this long non-coding RNA (970 nucleotides) under Mytilus galloprovincialis (Mediterranean mussel). The record is from RNAcentral. Lineage: Eukaryota; Metazoa; Mollusca; Bivalvia; Mytilida; Mytilidae.